UAGGGAAUCUUCCGCAAUGGACGCAAGUCUGACGGAGCAACGCCGCGUGAGCGAUGAAGGUCUUCGGAUCGUAAAGCUCUGUUGUGAGGGAAGAACGGGUAUAGGAGUAACUGUCUAUACAUUGACGGUACCUCACCAGAAAGCCCCGGCUAACUACGUGCCAGCAGCCGCGGUAAUACGUAGGGGGCAAGCGUUGUCCGGAAUUAUUGGGCGUAAAGCGCGCGCAGGCGGUUCUUUAAGUCUGAUGUGAAAGCCCUCGGCUUAACCGAGGAGGGUCAUUGGAAACUGGAGGACUUGAGUGCAGGAGAGGAGAGUGGAAUUCCACGUGUAGCGGUGAAAUGCGUAGAGAUGUGGAGGAACACCAGUGGCGAAGGCGGCUCUCUGGCCUGUAACUGACGCUGAGGCGCGAAAGCGUGGGGAGCAAACAGG
This 429-nucleotide ribosomal RNA is filed under the name uncultured bacterium. RNAcentral describes it as "bacterial SSU rRNA". It matches the Rfam family "Bacterial small subunit ribosomal RNA", at positions 355 to 776 of the family's 1533-position model. The record is from RNAcentral.